Molecule: small nucleolar RNA, 97 nt
Organism: Dunckerocampus dactyliophorus (ringed pipefish)
Lineage: Eukaryota; Metazoa; Chordata; Actinopteri; Syngnathiformes; Syngnathidae
Product: Z30 small nucleolar RNA
Exons: 1
Source: RefSeq, a predicted model, not a curated record
CUGUGCUGAUGAGCUUAGAUUUGACUGACUUGGUAUUGCUGGCCUCUGGGUCGACUCUGACCAGGAAAUGACUUUACUUAAUUUUCUCUCUGAGCAG